Molecule: long non-coding RNA, 546 nt
Organism: Rhodamnia argentea
Lineage: Eukaryota; Viridiplantae; Streptophyta; Magnoliopsida; Myrtales; Myrtaceae
Exons: 3
Source: RefSeq, a predicted model, not a curated record
UUUCAGAAAUGGCAAAGUGCCAAUGAAAUAAUGAGGGCGUAGCAUUUAUUUCGGAACUGUUGAGUGCUGGGGUAUUUUGGCCUGAGUUUUCUUGUUGCCUUAAAUAAAUGUGAAGAAAUCAUUUUGAUGGUAUUCUAGUGCCAAGUGAUUCUUUUCAAUUUCUAUAAAUUUUUUUUUUUGUCAGUUUCAUAGUUUAUUCUUUUUAGAUAGUGAUUGUGCUUCGGAGAUCUUCAUUGAUGGGUGCAGAGAGUAAAGAUUAGAUUCAUACGACGGAGUUUUCUUUGGCUAAGUAGCCUUACUCACACGAAUUUUGGAAAUUCUUGGACAUUAAUUUGAUUCUCAUUCCUUUUAGCUCUAUAUAAAAUUUACUUAGUUUUAUGAUUCUUGAGAUGUACGCUCUGUCCUGAUUGAAUGAUUAAGAUCAUAACUUGGUUCUAUUUUAUUCUAUUGUAGGUUUGUGGGCCACACUAAGGACAUGCUUUCGGUGGCCUUCUCCAUCGAAAAUUGACAGAUUGUAUUAGUAUCUCGUGACUACACGAUCAAGCU